RNAcentral lists this ribosomal RNA (200 nucleotides) under uncultured bacterium. RNAcentral describes it as "partial 16S ribosomal RNA". It matches the Rfam family "Bacterial small subunit ribosomal RNA", at positions 1303 to 1500 of the family's 1533-position model. The record is from RNAcentral.
GGCUGAAACUCGCCUACAUGAAGCUGGAGUUACUAGUAAUCGCAGAUCAGAAUGCUGCGGUGAAUGCGUUCCCGGGUCUUGUACACACCGCCCGUCACACCACGGAAGUUGGGGGCGCCCGAAGCCACUUAGCUAACCCAUUUGGGAAGCGAGUGUCGAAGGUGAAAUCAAUAACUGGGGUGAAGUCGUAACAAGGUACC